ACGGCUCAGUAACACGUGGAUAACCUGCCCUAUGGUGGAGAAUAACCCCGGGAAACUGGGGAUAAUACUCCAUAGAUUAGAGAUACUGGAAUGUUCUUUAAUCGAAAGUUGAGGCGCCAUAGGAUGGAUCUGCGGUCGAUUAGGUUGUUGUUGGGGUAACGGCCCAACAAGCCUGUAAUCGAUACGGGUUGUGGGAGCAAGAGCCCGGAGAUGGAAUCUGAGACACGAUUCCAGGCCCUACGGGGCGCAGCAGGCGCGAAAACUUUACAAUGCAGGAAACUGUGAUAAGGGAACCCCGAGUGCCCGUAUACGCGGGCUGCCCAGGUGUCUAAAAAGCAUCUGAAGAAAGGGCCGGGCAAGACCGGUGCCAGCCGCCGCGGUAAUACCGGCGGCUCGAGUGGUGGCCACUAUUAUUGGGCUUAAAGCGUCCGUAGCUGGACUCUUAAGUCUCUUGGGAAAUCCGCCGGCUUAACCGACGGGCGUCUAAGAGAUACUGAGAGUCUAGGGACCGGGAGAGGUGAGAGGUACUCCGGGGGUAGGAGUGAAAUCCUGUAAUCCCUGGGGGACCACCGAUGGCGAAGGCAUCUCACCAGAACGGCUCCGACAGUGAGGGACGAAAGCUGGGGGAGCGAACCGGAUUAGAUACCCGGGUAGUCCCAGCCGUAAACUAUGCGCGUUAGGUGUACUGGUGACCACGAGUCACUGGGGUGCCGAAGGGAAACCGUGAAACGUGCCGCCUGGGAAGUACGGUCGCAAGGCUGAAACUUAAAGGAAUUGGCGGGGGAG
Molecule: ribosomal RNA, 786 nt
Filed under: uncultured archaeon
Lineage: Archaea
Description: bacterial SSU rRNA
Rfam family: Archaeal small subunit ribosomal RNA
Source: RNAcentral